AACGAACGCUGGCGGCAUGCCUAACACAUGCAAGUCGAACGAGACCUUCGGGUCUAGUGGCGCACGGGUGCGUAACGCGUGGGAACCUGCCCUUAGGUUCGGAAUAACUCCCCGAAAGGGGUGCUAAUACCGGAUAAUGUCUUCGGACCAAAGAUUUAUCGCCUUUGGAUGGGCCCGCGUUGGAUUAGCUAGUUGGUAGUGUAAAAGCCUACCAAGGCGACGAUCCAUAGCUGGUCUGAGAGGAUGAUCAGCCACACUGGGACUGAGACACGGCCCAGACUCCUACGGGAAGCAGCAGUGGGGAAUAUUGGACGAUGGGCGAAAGCCUGAUCCAGCAAUGCCGCGUGAGUGAUGAAGGCCUUAGGGUUGUAAAGCUCUUUUACCCGGGAUGAUAAUGACAGUACCGGGAGAAUAAGCUCCGGCUAACUACGUG
This 433-nucleotide ribosomal RNA is filed under the name uncultured bacterium. Its description in RNAcentral is "partial 16S ribosomal RNA". It matches the Rfam family "Bacterial small subunit ribosomal RNA", at positions 29 to 507 of the family's 1533-position model. The record is from RNAcentral.